Molecule: transfer RNA, 72 nt
Filed under: Bos taurus (domestic cattle)
Lineage: Eukaryota; Metazoa; Chordata; Mammalia; Artiodactyla; Bovidae
Also listed under: 2 other names
Rfam family: tRNA
About the family: Transfer RNA (tRNA) molecules are approximately 80 nucleotides in length. Their secondary structure includes four short double-helical elements and three loops (D, anti-codon, and T loops).
Source: Rfam by way of RNAcentral
UCCCUGGUGGCUCAGCUGGUAAAGAAUCUGCCCGCAAUGCAGGAGACCUGGGUUCAAUCCCCGGGUUGGGAA